This 616-nucleotide ribosomal RNA is filed under the name uncultured bacterium. RNAcentral describes it as "bacterial SSU rRNA". It matches the Rfam family "Bacterial small subunit ribosomal RNA", at positions 338 to 951 of the family's 1533-position model. The record is from RNAcentral.
CCUACGGGAGGCAGCAGUGGGGAAUUUUGGACAAUGGGCGCAAGCCUGAUCCAGCAAUGCCGCGUGCAGGAUGAAGGCCUUCGGGUUGUAAACUGCUUUUGUACGGAACGAAACGGUGAGCUCUAAUACAGUUUGCUAAUGACGGUACCGUAAGAAUAAGCACCGGCUAACUACGUGCCAGCAGCCGCGGUAAUACGUAGGGUGCGAGCGUUAAUCGGAAUUACUGGGCGUAAAGCGUGCGCAGGCGGUGAUGUAAGACAGAUGUGAAAUCCCCGGGCUCAACCUGGGACCUGCAUUUGUGACUGCAUCGCUAGAGUACGGUAGAGGGGGAUGGAAUUCCGCGUGUAGCAGUGAAAUGCGUAGAUAUGCGGAGGAACACCGAUGGCGAAGGCAAUCCCCUGGACCUGUACUGACGCUCAUGCACGAAAGCGUGGGGAGCAAACAGGAUUAGAUACCCUGGUAGUCCACGCCCUAAACGAUGUCAACUGGUUGUUGGGUCUUCACUGACUCAGUAACGAAGCUAACGCGUGAAGUUGAACCGCCGUGGGGAGUUCGGCCGCAGGUUGAACUUAAGGAUUGACGGCUUGGNGAGNGCGAGGCGCGACGAGGGAGGAGG